RNAcentral lists this ribosomal RNA (119 nucleotides) under Pteropus alecto (black flying fox). RNAcentral also lists the same sequence under 1 other name. Lineage: Eukaryota; Metazoa; Chordata; Mammalia; Chiroptera; Pteropodidae. The record is from RNAcentral.
AUCUAUGGCCACGCCACCCUGAACAAGCCCAAUUCCAUCUGAUCUCAGAAGCUAAGCAGGGUCGGGCCUGGUUAGUACAUGGAUGGGAGACCACCUAGGAAGACCAGGUGCUGUAGGUG